AUACAAGAGAGGAUGGACCUGGCUACGAGAGAAGAGCAUCUCCUCUUGAGUGGUCAUGAUUCGCUUCUUACCCAUUGUUCCCUUCAUAGAUUAGUGUUUUUUUAUUACUUUUUAUUCGUUUGUCCUUCAUACAUUAGUUACAUGGGUGCAAAGUCAAAGUGCUGGGGAAGAGCUCUCUCUCUCUCUCUCUCUCUCUCUCUCUCGGUUUUUAAAGGAUAAGAGGAUAUGAAGUUUCUGGGCGUAGGAAGCGUCAGCGCCGUGGAUUCUUGCUAGUUUUCGAGCAUGCUUGGGUCUCGGUCACGUGAAUUUCUUGGAACAAAGUGGAGAUUUUUUCUUGAUUGGAGUGGCCCAGUGCUUGUUUUAUCGGAGGCAGGAUUCCUAUUUGGUUGGAGGAGAGUGCCUUCUGAAUAAGGCCACAACAAACUGGAUCCAUCGAGAAGCUGGGUCUCAGGACUUUAAGAUCUGUGUUUGAAAUAUGAUACCAACAAUUCAACAAAAUGGUUCUAUAAAAGAAAAAAAAGAUCUACCUAAAACAACAACAGCCUUGUAAUAAUAACAACAACAGUUCAUAGAUGCAUUUCAUCCCCCCAAAAAAAGGUUCCAUGCGGUAAGAUUACUCUUUCAUUGGAUAUGCAUUGUACGAUAUACAAUAAAAGAAAUUCUUUGCCUUGGCGACAUGCAUGUUCAAUAUUGGAUAGGACUAUCUUGAGAGAACCUAAAAAUAUGAGCUUUGUACUUUUAAUAUACUUUUUGUUUAUGUUCUUUGGUUGGAAUAAGAGGGAAAUACCUGCAAUUAUGCAUUAUGCACACAAAAAGGUGUGUCUUUGAGCAUCAAGGCUAGCAACACUUUAGAACUCAUGAAAUCCGAAGUCCUUAUACCAUCAGCAAGAUCCACGUACAGCUUGGCCAGCCACUCGGUUUCCCUCAAGACAAAUAUAAGUACAUUUAGUUGUGCAAAGGUACGUAUGUUAAUUAAUCUGUACAUUCUACUAAUCUAUUUGACUCCUUUUGACUCUUUUUGAACUGGUGGCAUGCAAAUAUGUAUAGUGCAUGUUGGAUGGGACAAUAAGGAAUAACUUUCAUGGUUUUAAAUGAAGGAUAAAAUACCAAUAAAAAAUAAUAAUUAGUAUUAUAUAAAAAUAAAAUUUAAAUUGAGAGAUAGAGAUUGGAGGUGAAUGAGGUUGUUGGAGGGAGAGAUAGAGAUGGAGGCAGAAAUUAACUAUGUUAGAUAGAGAGAUUAGUUAGUUAGGACACAGGCAAGAGAAAUUUGGGGUGCUCAAAAGAUUUCAAUUUUUUUUUCAUAUAGGACUUUCAAAAAAAUUAUGUGCACAUUUUUCUUUCCAAAUCAACAAGCAAUUGUAUUAUAAUAUUUUUAAAAAAUUAAAUAAUAUUGCAUCCAUGGCUUAACAGCCCAGGGACCUCCAACGCUCUCCUUAGCAUAAUAUUUAUUUUUAAAAAAUGGUAAACUAUUAAUAUUUUAAUUAUCUAUUUUCAAAGUUAUCCCAACGAAAUAUAAAAAUAAAUAUAGAUAUCUAAGAAUAUAAAAUAAUAGAGUAAAAUAAUCUAAAAACAUGAAAUUGAUUGCGAUUCCAUCUUCUUCCUAAUACACUGUGAUAUUAAAAUUGAUCAAUGAUGUGGAUUUUCAGAUUGAGAGAUCCAUCAUUCAUUUUGUGAAGCAUUUAGGACCAAAUACUAUCAAGUAUAUUUUAGGCCCCCACAACCCCCCCACCCUCUCCUCUCUCUCUCUCUCUUAUAAAGAGAAAAAUAUAGAGCUUGAGAGAAUGAUAAAACAAGAGAUUAUAUAUGUAUAGACGCAUUAUGAUCAUCAUUUCACUUGUAUCAGAGCAUCACAGCUCUUGAGUAGGCUUCUAAGGAGUAUGAAACGGCACCUCAAUACUUCUCUUGAGGCUGUUGUCAGCACCUCUCUUCUAAGUACUUGCACUCGGGGGCGAUCCAGGGUUCAAACUCCGUUGGCACAUUACCUGCAUACUACAUGGAAAGCAAAAACACCUUUCUCUUAGGGCAUGUUUGUAUCCUUGUAGAAGGCAGUACUUAACAAGUAAUAAAUGUAGAAGGGCACCAAUCGAAGAGUAAUCUUAGAGAUUGUGGGCAGGCGCAAUCCUAAAAAUUGGAGAUUCAUGUUUUUGUAAGAAAAAGGGUCAUUUUUCAUAUAUAUCCUUAAAAAAUGAGCGUGUGUCUUUGUGCGCGCGUGUACGUACGUGUCCGUGCGUUCUUAUAAUAAAGUUAUCUAUCCAUAUAUGCCUAGGAUAAAACUUUCAGUGACACAUUAAAACUGCGUGGUGGAAGUAGAUGAAAUUAGACGCAUCAAAUGGCUGUGAAAAAAAGGACCUGAUGUUCAACUCUCCUUUAUUAUUUUUUUUCGAAAACACAGUCCUCUUCAUUUCGGUUCAGUUUAUUUUUUUUUUUUUUCCUUCUCCCAUCUUUUUCAGAUGUAGAUCGAGGAGAAGGGCAACACCAACAUCCAUGGAGUUGGUGGGGGGUGACAGAUAGAAAGUGAGCACGCAUAGUUUCGAGCAUCGACUCAUGCAAGAAAGCACCACGUGUGCUCACUCUCUUCUGUCAGCCUCCAUUCAGCCCAGUCUCCUUCAUAUAUAAAUAUAACUCAGACAACGCACGAACCUGUCCCCAAGCUGCAAAUAGAUCUCUGAGGAACUUCAAGAGGAGACAUGAUGUAGAUCUCUGAGGAACUUCAAGAGGAGACUACAUGGAGAAAGAUUUUGCGUGGUGAACAAGGGAAGGAUUGGAACGGUUUAUAUAGGAGGAGGUGAAGGGGUAUAUGACAUCCCUUCAUUUGAAAGGAAUCCAUGGA
RNAcentral lists this long non-coding RNA (2830 nucleotides) under Phoenix dactylifera (date palm). RNAcentral's name for it is "long non-coding RNA (PDAC_LNC012142)". Lineage: Eukaryota; Viridiplantae; Streptophyta; Magnoliopsida; Arecales; Arecaceae. The record is from RNAcentral.